UAAGCCGUUGAAGGUGAAUCGUAAGGUUUGCUGGAGGUAUCAGAAGUGCGAAUGCUGACAUGAGUAACGACAAAGGGGGUGAAAAACCUCCUCGCCGGAAGACCAAGGGUUCCUGUCCAACGUUAAUCGGGGCAGGGUGAGUCGACCCCUAAGGUGAGGCCGAAAGGCGUAAUCGAUGGGAAACGGGUUAAUAUUCCCGUACUUCUGACUAUUGCGAUGGGGGGACGGAGAAGGCUAGGUGGGCCAGGCGACGGUUGUCCUGGUUCAAGUGCGUAGGCUUGAGAGUUAGGUAAAUCCGGCUCUCUCUAAGGCUGAGACACGACGUCGAGCUACUACGGUAGUGAAGUCAUUGAUGCCAUGCUUCCAGGAAAAGCCUCUAAGCUUCAGAUAGUCAGGAAUCGUACCCCAAACCGACACAGGUGGUCGGGUAGAGAAUACCAAGGCGCUUGAGAGAACUCGGGUGAAGGAACUAGGCAAAAUGGUACCGUAACUUCGGGAGAAGGUACGCUCUUGAUGGUGAAGUCCCUCGCGGAUGGAGCUGACGAGAGUCGCAGAUACCAGGUGGCUGCAACUGUUUAUUAAAAACACAGCACUGUGCAAAAUCGCAAGAUGACGUAUACGGUGUGACGCCUGCCCGGUGCCGGAAGGUUAAUUGAUGGGGUUAGCGCAAGCGAAGCUCUUGAUCGAAGCCCCGGUAAACGGCGGCCGUAACUAUAACGGUCCUAAGGUAGCGAAAUUCCUUGUCGGGUAAGUUCCGACCUGCACGAAUGGCGUAAUGAUGGCCACGCUGUCUCCACCCGAGACUCAGUGAAAUUGAAAUCGCUGUGAAGAUGCAGUGUACCCGCGGCUAGACGGAAAGACCCCGUGAACCUUUACUACAGCUUGGCACUGAACAUUGAACCUACAUGUGUAGGAUAGGUGGGAGGCUAUGAAGACGUGACGCCAGUUGCGUUGGAGCCGUCCUUGAAAUACCACCCUUGUAUGU
Molecule: ribosomal RNA, 985 nt
Filed under: Vibrio cholerae
Lineage: Bacteria; Pseudomonadati; Pseudomonadota; Gammaproteobacteria; Vibrionales; Vibrionaceae
Also listed under: 2 other names
Description: partial 23S ribosomal RNA
Rfam family: Bacterial large subunit ribosomal RNA
Source: RNAcentral